This 206-nucleotide unclassified non-coding RNA is filed under the name Hevea brasiliensis (rubber tree). The record is from RNAcentral. Lineage: Eukaryota; Viridiplantae; Streptophyta; Magnoliopsida; Malpighiales; Euphorbiaceae.
AGACAGCAAUGGGGAGGAGAGAGGAGGCUUUAGAGAAUCUUAGGAAGUGCUUAGAGAUCAAAGAAAUGAUGUUGGAGAAAGAUAGUAAGGAAUUGGGUUUGGCAAAUAGGAAACUGGCAGUGGCAUAUGUUGCAGUAUUGAAUUUCAAGGAGGCAUUGCCAUUUGGUUUGAAGGCCUUGGAUAUACAUAGGAGCGGACUGGGGAAU